AUUGAACGCUGGCGGCAUGCCUUACACAUGCAAGUCGAACGCGAAAGGGGCUUCGGUCCUGAGUAGAGUGGCGUCCGGGUGAGUAACGCGUGGGUAAUCUACCUUUGGGUGGGGAAUAACUAGUCGAAAGGCUAGCUAAUACCGCAUAAUGCAAUUUUCUACUAGAAUUUUGUAAAGCAGUAAUGUGCCUAAAGAUGAGCCUGCGUCUGAUUAGUUUGUUGGUAGGGUAAUGGCCUACCAAGACUACUAUCAGUAGCUGGUCUGAGAGGACGGCCAGCCACAAUGGCACUGAAACACGGGCCAUACUCCUACGGGAGGCAGCAGUGGGGAAUUUUGCGCAAUGAGCGAAAGCUUGACGCAGCAACGCCGCGUGAAGGAUGAAAUCCUUCGGGAUGUAAACUUCGCAAGUAUGGGAAGAAAAAAUAGACGGUACCAUAUGUAAGCCCCGGCUAACUCCGUGCCAGCAGCCG
This 470-nucleotide ribosomal RNA is filed under the name uncultured bacterium. RNAcentral describes it as "bacterial SSU rRNA". It matches the Rfam family "Bacterial small subunit ribosomal RNA", at positions 30 to 517 of the family's 1533-position model. The record is from RNAcentral.